RNAcentral lists this ribosomal RNA (238 nucleotides) under uncultured bacterium. RNAcentral describes it as "partial 16S ribosomal RNA". It matches the Rfam family "Bacterial small subunit ribosomal RNA", at positions 96 to 334 of the family's 1533-position model. The record is from RNAcentral.
CGGCGGACGGGUGAGUAACGCGUGGGUAACCUGCCUCAUACAGGGGGAUAACAGUUAGAAAUGGCUGCUAAUACCGCAUAAGACCACAGUACUGCAUGGUACAGUGGUAAAAACUCCGGUGGUAUGAGAUGGACCCGCGUCUGAUUAGGUAGUUGGUGAGGUAACGGCCCACCAAGCCGACGAUCAGUAGCCGACCUGAGAGGGUGACCGGCCACAUUGGGACUGAAACACGGCCCAG